GGCCGGCUAGCUCAGUUGGUUAGAGCGUCGUGCUAAUACGUUCUAUGUAUGAACGCGAAGGUCUUGGGUUCGAUCCCCACGUUGGCCA
Non-coding RNA from Lentinula edodes (shiitake mushroom), 88 nucleotides. NCBI's taxonomy places the organism in Eukaryota, Fungi, Basidiomycota, Agaricomycetes, Agaricales, Omphalotaceae. The record is from Rfam.